UAUCUUCCAAAUUUAAAACAGUACACAAAAAAUCAUCAACCAAAUUCAUAUGAUCUUAUCAAAAUACAAACUCAAAAGUUAAAUAGUAAAAAGAAAUAUCUAAAUAUUAAAUUUUGACUUUGAGGGUUAACAGGAUCACUUAACACCUCAGAUUCUAAUUUAGAAAUGUCAGGAGACAAAGGAUUAUCAAUUUCAAAAGAAUGUUGAGCUAGUUCAGUUAGAAAAUGUUGAUCAUUCUGUGGUAUUAUGCUAACUGAACAUGAACUUGAACCUUGCAAGAAGACCUUUUCGGUUUAAUCUUAGGCAGCGUUGCGUUCAUCUGUUGUAAGAGAGCUCUCUUAGCAACAGAUUCUUCUUGCUGAGCAAGCCAUAAACGGGAUCUAGUGUUGUUUCCAAGUUGAGGGGGGUGAGAGGUUCAAGGUGAAGACCUUGUUAUUUACAA
This is a non-coding RNA of Arachis ipaensis, 442 nucleotides long. Lineage: Eukaryota; Viridiplantae; Streptophyta; Magnoliopsida; Fabales; Fabaceae. The record is from RefSeq and is a predicted model, not a curated record.